CCUACGGGUGGCAGCAGUGGGGAAUAUUGGACAAUGGGGGGAACCCUGAUCCAGCCAUGCCGCGUGUGUGAAGAAGGCCCUCGGGUUGUAAAGCACUUUCAGUGAGGAAGAACGCCUGGUGGUUAAUACCCAUCAGGAAAGACAUCACUCACAGAAGAAGCACCGGCUAACUCCGUGCCAGCAGCCGCGGUAAUACGGAGGGUGCGAGCGUUAAUCGGAAUUACUGGGCGUAAAGCGCGCGUAGGUGGCUUGAUAAGCCGGUUGUGAAAGCCCCGGGCUCAACCUGGGAACGGCAUCCGGAACUGUCAAGCUAGAGUGCAGGAGAGGAAGGUGGAAUUCCCGGUGUAGCGGUGAAAUGCGUAGAGAUCGGGAGGAAUACCAGUGGCGAAGGCGGCCUUCUGGACUGAAACUGACACUGAGGUGCGAAAGCGUGGGUAGCAAACAGGAUUAGAUACCCCAGUAGUC
RNAcentral lists this ribosomal RNA (465 nucleotides) under Vreelandella stevensii. Its description in RNAcentral is "partial 16S ribosomal RNA". It matches the Rfam family "Bacterial small subunit ribosomal RNA", at positions 338 to 795 of the family's 1533-position model. Lineage: Bacteria; Pseudomonadati; Pseudomonadota; Gammaproteobacteria; Oceanospirillales; Halomonadaceae. The record is from RNAcentral.